RNAcentral lists this ribosomal RNA (510 nucleotides) under Triticum aestivum (bread wheat). Its description in RNAcentral is "partial small subunit ribosomal RNA". The record is from RNAcentral. Lineage: Eukaryota; Viridiplantae; Streptophyta; Magnoliopsida; Poales; Poaceae.
AUGCCCAUCUUAGACUCAAAAUUGAAAAAAGGGGAACUACAACCGGUGUGUGAUAAAAUCCUAGGAAGGAUGAAGGGGUGGAAACUGACCCUGUUAAGUCUGGACGGGAGGUUGGACUUGGUUAAGAAGGUUUUGUCAGCAAUGCCAAUGAUUGCAAUUCAUAUUCCAACCUGGCUCGAGAAGAUGAUCGACAAGGUCAGGAGAGGGUUUCUUUGGGAAAGGAAGGAAGAGGCCACUAGUGGCAAAUGCUUGGUAAACUGGAAAAGGGUCUGUCGCCCAACUGAAUUUGGUGGCCAAGGGAUCAUAAAUUUUGCGGCGCAGAGUAUUGCGCUCCGUGCCAGGUGGCUUUGGCAAACGUGGACUGAUGGGAGCAAACCGUGGCUUGGUCUGGACAUGCCUAUCGACCCCAAGGUCAGGGCACUAUUCAAUGCAUCGGUCGUCUUCCACAUUGGCAAUGGAGAGCGAAUUUCCUUCUGGAAGGAACCAUGGCACAACGGCGUCAGCCUCUAG